UGCUCUGACAUAGGAGAACGAUGCAGUGAUCAAGAAAUAGCCCAUUUGGUUUGCCAGUUUCAACCACAACUUUGCAGGAAAACCUGUGGAAUGUGCGGAAACAGCUACCGGUCUACCACUACUAUGCCUGUGGUAUCGCACGCAUGCGCAGAUCCAAUACCGGAGUGUCAAUGUAGUUACCUGGACCGAGAGUUAUCCAUAUGCUCUGAUGCUGAUCCUGAUAUGAAGAUGUUCUGUUGUUAUUACUGCAACAAAAAAGAAAACAGAUAUACGUGUCCUGAUGCUCAGUGUCGAAAGGUGGAACAACACGAGUUUCACGUGAUAGAGCAUCUGCAUCAAAGUAUCACGUGUCAUGGCGAUGUCCAAUGAGAGCGGUCUGUACAUCACGUAUUUGUUAUAUAAAGUUAA
Molecule: long non-coding RNA, 408 nt
Organism: Mizuhopecten yessoensis (Yesso scallop)
Lineage: Eukaryota; Metazoa; Mollusca; Bivalvia; Pectinida; Pectinidae
Exons: 3
Source: RefSeq, a predicted model, not a curated record